UUUCCGUAGGUGAACCUGCGGAAGGAUCAUUACCGAAUUUAAUUCCGGGGUUGUAGCUGGCCAUUAUUUUGGCAUGUGCACGCCCUGGUAAUCCAAAUCAUUUAUACCUCUGUGCACUAUUAUGUGGGAUUGAUGAGGCUUUGGUGCUUGCGCCAAUGGCAUUAUCAUUCUCAUGUUUCACAUACACUCUUUAGUAUAGAAUGUUAUUGCGUUAGACGCAUCUUAAUACAACUUUCAGCAACGGAUCUCUUGGCUCUC
This 258-nucleotide unclassified non-coding RNA is filed under the name plant metagenome. RNAcentral describes it as "partial contains small subunit ribosomal RNA, internal transcribed spacer 1, and 5.8S ribosomal RNA". The record is from RNAcentral.